RNAcentral lists this unclassified non-coding RNA (204 nucleotides) under Hevea brasiliensis (rubber tree). The record is from RNAcentral. Lineage: Eukaryota; Viridiplantae; Streptophyta; Magnoliopsida; Malpighiales; Euphorbiaceae.
AUGCUAGUGUCUUAUAAUUGAAUAUAUGGUAUUGUUAUUGACAUCAGGCCAUUCAGCAGAUAAACUGAGGAUCUGUAUUGGUCAGUUCAUCCUUUCUGCCACUCAACAAUCUCCAACUCACUCAAAACAACCAUCCCAGGUAGGCUCAACCAAUAUUCAAAUCCAAAUAACAAUCCCAUAUAUUCAAUUAUAAGACACUAGCAU